UGUACAAGUUGUUUUCUUUGCUUCUGCUUCUGCUGUUAGUUUUUCUUUCCCUAUGAUAUAUGGAGCCUUUGUAAGGUUGACCACAACCAGUAUUCCAACUGAUGGGUGAGUACAUCAUGUGUAUUUAUUGAAAAUCAGGCAUAGUUGGUGCAAUUGUGUUCACUUGUUUUGUAGUAAAAUAAAUGUCUUGUUUAAUAUAUGGCUUCAUUCUUGCUUGAUUGAGUACUAGAUUUUGGGGGUUGGGGCAUUGCUAAUAAUUACUGAGCAUGAGUGCAAGUUCCUGACUAUGCUUGAUUGUAAACUUUUGAUUACUUUCUAUAGGUGUUGUGCAAAAAGGUAUUUAAUGCUAUUUUCAGAGACUGUAAUGGUAUUUCCAUUUUCUACUUAUGUUUUGUUGAUGGAAAUUUUAUGGUGAUUGAAUUUGCUUCAUCGCCGUUUUCUAUCACAAGCACUAAAUCCCUAGUCAUCGACCUAAAUCCUUAAAAUGUUGUUUCCUUCAUUCCAAUUCCUAAUCCCUAAAUUUCCAACGAAGCUUUUCAAUUUCUGGCUAGUGACAAAGCUUCUAUUUCUUUCUCUCGUUGAACAUAGUUGAUUGUUUUCAUAUCAGGUUCCUUGUUCUCUCUUUGAGCAAGUUAUCCUUUGAAAAAACAACUAU
This 655-nucleotide long non-coding RNA is filed under the name Trifolium pratense (red clover). Its description in RNAcentral is "long non-coding RNA (TPRA_LNC009827)". Lineage: Eukaryota; Viridiplantae; Streptophyta; Magnoliopsida; Fabales; Fabaceae. The record is from RNAcentral.